UGGAAGUAAAAGUCGUAACAAGGUUUCCGUAGGUGAA
This 37-nucleotide ribosomal RNA is filed under the name Austropuccinia psidii. RNAcentral describes it as "partial 18S ribosomal RNA". The record is from RNAcentral. Lineage: Eukaryota; Fungi; Basidiomycota; Pucciniomycetes; Pucciniales; Sphaerophragmiaceae.